Molecule: transfer RNA, 74 nt
Filed under: Aedes aegypti (yellow fever mosquito)
Lineage: Eukaryota; Metazoa; Arthropoda; Insecta; Diptera; Culicidae
Rfam family: tRNA
About the family: Transfer RNA (tRNA) molecules are approximately 80 nucleotides in length. Their secondary structure includes four short double-helical elements and three loops (D, anti-codon, and T loops).
Source: Rfam by way of RNAcentral
GGUUAGGUAGCUUAGUUGGUAGAGCACUCGUCUAUCAUACAAGAGCCGCGGAUUCCACUUUCCCAUUUUGACUA